This 576-nucleotide ribosomal RNA is filed under the name Salmonella enterica. Its description in RNAcentral is "partial 23S ribosomal RNA". It matches the Rfam family "Bacterial large subunit ribosomal RNA", at positions 830 to 1318 of the family's 2925-position model. RNAcentral also lists the same sequence under 1 other name. The record is from RNAcentral. Lineage: Bacteria; Pseudomonadati; Pseudomonadota; Gammaproteobacteria; Enterobacterales; Enterobacteriaceae.
CAAUCAAACCGGGAGAUAGCUGGUUCUCCCCGAAAGCUAUUUAGGUAGCGCCUCGUGAAUUCAUCUCCGGGGGUAGAGCACUGUUUCGGCUAGGGGGCCAUCCCGGCUUACCAACCCGAUGCAAACUGCGAAUACCGGAGAAUGUUAUCACGGGAGACACACGGCGGGUGCUAACGUCCGUCGUGAAGAGGGAAACAACCCAGACCGCCAGCUAAGGUCCCAAAGUCAUGGUUAAGUGGGAAACGAUGUGGGAAGGCCCAGACAGCCAGGAUGUUGGCUUAGAAGCAGCCAUCAUUUAAAGAAAGCGUAAUAGCUCACUGGUCGAGUCGGCCUGCGCGGAAGAUGUAACGGGGCUAAACCAUGCACCGAAGCUGCGGCAGCGAACGUAUCACCCAAGACAACUUUACGGAGUUGACGAUUGACGGAGCGAAGCGACGUCAAAGCGUUCAUUAAAGUCGAGUUGGCUUAGGGAUACGUUCGUUGGGUAGGGGAGCGUUCUGUAAGCCUGUGAAGGUGUGUCGUGAGGCAUGCUGGAGGUAUCAGAAGUGCGAAUGCUGACAUAAGUAACGAUAAAGC